GGAACGGGCAAAGUCAAUUGAGCAUAUUCUUUUAGCCAGCCAGUCAAGGCUUGUCCCAGGCAAUAGGGACAAGCAAGCGAGCAAGCAAUGCAGUGCGGAUUGGAACGGCUACUGUCGUGGACGCGUGGUGGUCCCGGCAAGGCAUUCCCUACAAGUCCGCCAGCGAAGCACCUGGUCAAGUGCCCCAUUCUUCCCGAAAACGCACCGUAACCUGCGGGGCGUGAUCAGCGAGGCCUUGCUCUUGGUUCGGAACAGAUGCUAAGCUGCUAUGCUCUUCGGGCCUCGCAGCUGAGGAAGAGUGGUGCAGCCGCGACGUGUGCCUGACGUGAUGUUGCCGGGCACUACGGGAACCCGACGAUGCGUCGGACGGUCAUGCUCCGGUGAAGCUCCGUUCAUCACGGACACAACGAGACUGCAACCCGGCACCGGAGCAGCCUCAUCAAGGCAUUCAAGCAGUGAUGAAAGUGUCCCAGACGUUGGGCUUCAAUUUUUCCGAGCAGAGCGCAUCGGUGAGUCAAAAGCGCUGUGCUUGGAGGCAGCUUUGCAGCUGGUGUUCGAGUUGUCACGUGACCAUGGACAGCCGUGGCGAGCUUCGGGCUGGGCGAAACCUACGCACCAGGACGUCGCUAAAAGUGCCUCAGUAUUAUGACGACGCCGC
This is a long non-coding RNA of Rhipicephalus microplus (southern cattle tick), 658 nucleotides long. RefSeq lists it as uncharacterized. The record is from RefSeq and is a predicted model, not a curated record. Lineage: Eukaryota; Metazoa; Arthropoda; Arachnida; Ixodida; Ixodidae.